ACCGCUCCCCGGGCAGUCGCUGGUUUUCGAAUGAAAAUUGGAGGAAAGUCCGGACACUACAGAGCAGUGUGCCUCUUGAAAGGGGGGGACAGGGGUCCGAGAGGACCGCUGGACAGAUAGUACCACAGAAAACAAACCGCCUUUUUCGGAAGGUAAGGGUGAAAAGGUGGGGUAAGAGCCCACCGCGCCGAGGGUAACUUAGGUGGCAUGGUAAACCUCUCACAGUGCAAGACAGAACAGGGGAAGGGCUGCUCGUCCGUCCAAUCCCCG
RNAcentral lists this RNase P RNA (270 nucleotides) under Akkermansiaceae bacterium. RNAcentral's name for it is "partial RNase P RNA component class A". It matches the Rfam family "Bacterial RNase P class A", at positions 1 to 269 of the family's 367-position model. From Rfam's summary of the family: Ribonuclease P (RNase P) is a ubiquitous endoribonuclease, found in archaea, bacteria and eukarya as well as chloroplasts and mitochondria. Its best characterised activity is the generation of mature 5'-ends of tRNAs by cleaving the 5'-leader elements of precursor-tRNAs. Cellular RNase Ps are ribonucleoproteins. The record is from RNAcentral. Lineage: Bacteria; Pseudomonadati; Verrucomicrobiota; Verrucomicrobiia; Verrucomicrobiales; Akkermansiaceae.